AACUAAAUCUAAUAGCGUUUGCUUACUUCUAAUUUUCAAGGUAGAUGAAGCAUCAUUGCAAAAAGCGCUGCAUUUGGUGUACAGCCUCAAUCAGGACUAUGUAGCUGUUCUGUUUUAUGCUUCUUCGAGAACUUCAGACCAAGCUAUUCAACCCUGUCUUCCUUAUAUCCAUCUAUUCCUCAUUUUGCAAUAGAAGAAUCAGCCAUCAGACCAAGCAUACUGUCAAAAUAUGGAAUCUUGUGUUUGGCAUACCAACUGUACAAAUUUAAUGAUGGGAUUUGUCCGAAUAGAGCGACUACGCAGGGGUUGAAAGGCUUCCCUGUAAAGUGUGCUCAACAAGUCGGUGCCCGCGAGUGUGGCUAUUACAUUAUGAAGUUCAUGCAUGAAAUAGUCACGUUACACCAUAACUCUGAUGAGCGGUUAGAUAAUGCUUACACUCCAAGAAAUGCGCCUUAUACCGAUGAGGAAAUAGAUGUGGUUCGUGAGCUAUGGGCUAAGUUUUUUACAACCGAGUAUUUAUUUACUUAGGUUGUUUAGACACAAAGAUGGAAGCGUUUAUAUCUUCAUGGAUUUGGCUAGGGAUCGAGUCGAUUGGAAGAAAGUCAACACGACCUUACUUAAGGUUUGUAAUGCAUGAUCUAAAGGGACCUAAGUGGCUGGAUUAGAGACAUUUGUUAGAUUAGCUCUCUAGCCUUUUGUCUUUAGUUGUUAAUAUUAGUUGUAAUUUGUUAGACUAGCUAGGUGUUUAAAAAUUGUAAACAUACGUACUAUAUAUACGCUUUGCU
This is a long non-coding RNA of Spinacia oleracea (spinach), 785 nucleotides long. RefSeq lists it as uncharacterized. The record is from RefSeq and is a predicted model, not a curated record. The transcript is spliced from 6 exons. Lineage: Eukaryota; Viridiplantae; Streptophyta; Magnoliopsida; Caryophyllales; Amaranthaceae.